Molecule: microRNA precursor, 58 nt
Filed under: Strongyloides ratti
Lineage: Eukaryota; Metazoa; Nematoda; Chromadorea; Rhabditida; Strongyloididae
Description: lin-4 stem-loop (str-lin-4)
Gene: str-lin-4
Source: miRBase by way of RNAcentral
UCCCUGAGACUCUACUUGUGACAGAUUUAAUAUGUCCCAAGUUAGAUGAUCAGGUACC